GGAGAGGUGUCAGAGCGGCCGAAUGAGCUCGUCUCGAAAACGAGUAAGGGGUCAUAGCCUUCGUGGGUUCGAAUCCCACCCUCUCCGCCA
RNAcentral lists this transfer RNA (90 nucleotides) under Chloroflexota bacterium. Its description in RNAcentral is "tRNA-Ser". It matches the Rfam family "tRNA". From Rfam's summary of the family: Transfer RNA (tRNA) molecules are approximately 80 nucleotides in length. Their secondary structure includes four short double-helical elements and three loops (D, anti-codon, and T loops). The record is from RNAcentral. Lineage: Bacteria; Bacillati; Chloroflexota.